GUGCGUCUAAACUUUGUAAAGUUGAGUGAAGAGCUCAUCUGCCAUCGGUGCGCUAACCCACAUGAGACGACGCGUUGGGAGAUGGCUAAGCUUUGUAAAGUUUAGGAGGGAAUGCAGUCAUCGAGGCAGUGACCCACAAAGGGACUUCGCGUCAGGUACAUCCAAGCUUUGUAAAGCUGAGUAAGGAGUUCAUCUGCUAUUGGUGCGCUGACUCACAGGGGACGAUGCGUUGAGAGAUGACUAAAGCUUUGUAAAGUUUAGGAAGGAACGCAUCCACCGAGGCGGUGACCCACAAGGGACCCCACAUUAGGUGCAUCUAAGCUUAGUAAAGCUGAGGAGUUCGAUCUGAGGUGUCCAUUUUUUACGUUAGAUGAUUUGACAACUGUCGCGUAUUUCGAAGGCGACAGUUGGAUGCGAUGCCCAUUCCCAGAAAAGGCUACUACGGCUACUUAUUGUAGACGGCUGAUGGGGAUCGAGGCGACGCAUUUUAUGCGUGCGUGAACAACUAGAUCUUGGGCGUAGAUCAAAUAUGGUGUUUCAUUUCAACGGCCUAAAUUUGUGAUCUGAUGGAUGGCCUAGAUCGAUAGCAUUUGAAUUCGACGAUGGAGAUCAUCUGGAGUGUUCUAUAAAAGGGAGACUUGAGCGUUUUGAGAGGUUUUGACUCUUGCGAAAUUAGACUCUCUUUGCUCUCAAAAUUCUCUGCAAUUUCUGUUAAUCUUCAAGCGUUUUUCGACGACAUUUCUAGUUUCCGACGAGUUCCAGGGGGCCCUUUCUUCUUUUUCGAUUGUAGAAAACCCCAAUCCAUUCGUUUUAGUAAGUAUCUCACUAGUUUUUUUUUUUUAAUUCUGAAAAUAGCUUAUAAGGGUAGUGAUGCUUUGGGGAGGGAACUGGGUAUAGUUUGGAUGGAUGAGAAUAUGUUGGCGACGUCCAGUGAAGUAGCCUAGGCUAUAUUGGUGGGAAAACAUUUGGUGGAGGCUUGAUAGCCUAGUACACACAUCAGAACAUUAGGGGGCUUCUGACUAUCCAUCAAAGUUGAAAGAGGCCGACCUGGAUAGACUUAGGGCAGAAUAUAGGAUCCCUGAUAACAUAGAUCUUAUAUUGCCGGAGCCUGAUGAACAAGCCUGUUACCUUAGGCCAGGGUGUGUGGCUGUGAGCUAGGCGCUUUUCAGGGCUGGUCUUAGGCUACCUAUCCAUCAUUUCUUCCGAUACGCUCUUAGGUCAUCUGGGUUAGCUCCGACCCAAUUAAACCCAAACUCCUGGAACCAGAUGGUGGGCUCCUGGAUGUUGUGGAAGGAGGCGUCUCUUGGGAUAGAGAUCCCUUUUCAGUCUUCCAGACCCUGUACAUCCCCAAAGCGGCGGCUGGGGGACACGACUAAGGGGUGGCAUUACUUAACCUCCUGGGGGGCCUAUACUCCAUUCGUCCUAGACCUGCCGAGCUCAAUAAAGGACUGGAAGACGUCGUGGUACUGGGCAUCUGGAAGGUGGGACACAAUGGAGGGGGACUCCCUGGCGCUUCUCACAGUCCCAACUAUGUAUUCAUCACUUAGUGAAUGCUGAUGCAUUGUGUUUAAAUUUGUUUUGAGCUUCAGUUCGGUUCCUAACCUUUUUUUGUUUUUUACAGGCACUCUUCCUCGAUGUGAGAUAUCCACUGAGGACUUUGACAUAAUUUGCAUCGUCUAUCAGCUCCCACCGAAGAGGAGAUCUUAUCACGAGCUGAUUAAGAAGAACACACACUUCGUUACGCACGAUCUAAUUGCUUCCCAAGAUGAUUUCAACAAGAAGAGGCCCUUGAGGCCUGAUUUUAAGACCAUCCAGAAAAUGAUGGCCGAGGCAAGGGCCUUGAAGACCUCCUCCUUUGCUUAUAAGAAGCAGACGAAGGACUGCAAACAAGAGGCUUCAGCCACCGACAGAGGAGGAAGCAAAAGACCCUGAGGCAAACUUGUUGAGGAAGGGUAAUAAAGCUGUUGGCUCCUUGAAGGGGCCAACCAUGGCAAGGCCCUCGCAGGCUCUGAGGCAAACCACAAUACCUACUGGGGUGGCCAUUUGGGAGAAGACUGCUUCCCAAUCCGAGGCUGUCCCUGUUGCUACUACUACCCCGGUCGAAGCCCCACUUUUUGCUGUGCCAAUUUUCCAACUGCCGGGGCAGCAGAGGAGGAAGAGGGCUUGCCCCUCGAAGGAGGUGGAUUUUCUAGGCGUCAACAUUGAAGAGCUCGCAAAGGAGGUGCUGGAAGCCCUGCCUCCAGAGACGGCUACAGUGGCGAUGGUCUACCACAAAUACUGGACCAAAGAGAGGGGGACCACAUGCGUCCUGCACUACAGAGGACCUUGUUGUGGCUAACAGUGCAUACAUCGCCCAGGCUCUUAGCACAUGUGUCCAACUUGAGGGUUUAGUAAAGGACCUCAGUGCUAGGAGUGAUGACCUGGCCAAGUGUCUGGAGGAGGCGAUGCACUUCAGGGAUGCAGUGCGGGCUGCCCAAGCAAAGGCCUCGGAAGCGGAGGAUCGACUGGUCAAAGCUAAUGAGGAGACAGAGAGGCUGAAGAAGGAGCUCUAUGAAGUGGAGUGCUAGGUGGCUACUAUGACAAGGAGAGUCGAUCAUGCCAAUGAGCACCACCGGCUCGCCACUGAGGCUCUGGAGGCCUCCAACAAAGAGAAGGCCAAGUUGAGGCAAUGGGUAGAGGCCUAGGCUGAAGAGAUCGAAUCUUUGAAGAUCGAGGUGAAGGCGACGGGGGAGUCAGCAGUGUAGAACUUUAUCGAUCACUUCGAAGAACACCCACUGUAUGACGACUUCGCCAACUUCUGGGCCUCGUGGAAUGUCCAGAAAAUGUUAGAUCGUCUAAGGGAGGUCCACCCAACUCUGGAUCUAACUUCCCUGGAAGCGGAGUUCGGUGGGCCUAUUGGAGGUAGACCUGAUAGGGCCACUGAGGAAGCUACUGAAACCCCCCAAGAGGCUGAAUCGGAGGUUGGAGCUGAAGAUGCCCCUCUAGUAGAAUAUGAAUAUUUUGUAAUGGCUUUGGCCCACCUCUUGUAAUUUACUUUGAUGUUAAUGAAAUUAAAAUUUUUUCAA
Long non-coding RNA from Olea europaea var. sylvestris, 3065 nucleotides. RefSeq lists it as uncharacterized. Lineage: Eukaryota; Viridiplantae; Streptophyta; Magnoliopsida; Lamiales; Oleaceae. The record is from RefSeq and is a predicted model, not a curated record. The transcript has 2 exons.